GUAGGUGGCAAGCGUUGUCCGGAAUUAUUGGGCGUAAAGCGCGCGCAGGCGGUUCUUUAAGUCUGAUGUGAAAGCCCACGGCUCAACCGUGGAGGGUCAUUGGAAACUGGAGAACUUGAGUACAGAAGAGGAAAGCGGAAUUCCACGUGUAGCGGUGAAAUGCGUAGAGAUGUGGAGGAACACCAGUGGCGAAGGCGGCUUUCUGGUCUGUAACUGACGCUGAGGCGCGAAAGCGUGGGGAGCAAACAGGAUUAGAUACCCUGGUAGUCCACGCCGUAAACGAUGAGUGCUAAGUGUUAGUGGGUUUCCGCCCCUUAGUGCUGCAGCUAACGCAUUAAGCACUCCGCCUGGGAGUACGGCCGCAAGGCUG
RNAcentral lists this ribosomal RNA (370 nucleotides) under uncultured organism. RNAcentral describes it as "partial 16S ribosomal RNA". It matches the Rfam family "Bacterial small subunit ribosomal RNA", at positions 527 to 896 of the family's 1533-position model. The record is from RNAcentral.